This is a non-coding RNA of Picea glauca (white spruce), 121 nucleotides long. NCBI's taxonomy places the organism in Eukaryota, Viridiplantae, Streptophyta, Pinopsida, Pinales, Pinaceae. The record is from Rfam.
ACAUGCCUACAACAUAGCGUUAAUGCACUAGAUCCCAUUAGAAAUCCACAGUUAAGCGCACUCAGGCUAGAGCAGUAUUGGGAUGGGUGACCGCCCGGGAAGUCCUAGUGUUUUACAUGCC